GACGAACGCCGGCGGCGUGCUUAACACAUGCAAGUCGAACGAAGAGCGAUGGAAGCUUGCUUCUAUCAAUCUUAGUGGCGAAGGGGUGAGUAACGCGUAAUCAACCUGCCCUUCAGAGGGGGACAACAGUAGGAAACGACUGCUAAUACCGCAUACGAUCUGACCUCGGCAUCGAGGAUAGAUGAAAGGUGGCCUCUAUUUAUAAGCUAUCACUGAAGGAGGGGAUUGCGUCUGAUUAGCUAGUUGGAGGGGUAACGGCCCACCAAGGCGAUGAUCAGUAGCCGGUCUGAGAGGAUGAACGGCCACAUUGGGACUGAGACACGGCCCAGACUCCUACGGGAGGCAGCAGUGGGGAAUCUUCCGCAAUGGACGAAAGUCUGACGGAGCAACGCCGCGUGAGUGAUGACGGCCUUCGGGUUGUAAAGCUCUGUUAAUCGGGACGAAAGGCCUUCUUGCGAAUAGUUAGAAGG
RNAcentral lists this ribosomal RNA (470 nucleotides) under Veillonella dispar. Its description in RNAcentral is "bacterial SSU rRNA". It matches the Rfam family "Bacterial small subunit ribosomal RNA", at positions 28 to 475 of the family's 1533-position model. The record is from RNAcentral. Lineage: Bacteria; Bacillati; Bacillota; Negativicutes; Veillonellales; Veillonellaceae.